RNAcentral lists this transfer RNA (72 nucleotides) under Ornithorhynchus anatinus (platypus). It matches the Rfam family "tRNA". Rfam says of the family: Transfer RNA (tRNA) molecules are approximately 80 nucleotides in length. The record is from Rfam by way of RNAcentral. Lineage: Eukaryota; Metazoa; Chordata; Mammalia; Monotremata; Ornithorhynchidae.
AGCAGCGUGGCUCAGUGGAAAGAGCAUGGGCUUGGGAGUCAAGGUUCAUGGGUUCGAAUCCCAGCUCUGCCA